Molecule: transfer RNA, 72 nt
Filed under: Loxodonta africana (African savanna elephant)
Lineage: Eukaryota; Metazoa; Chordata; Mammalia; Proboscidea; Elephantidae
Rfam family: tRNA
About the family: Transfer RNA (tRNA) molecules are approximately 80 nucleotides in length. Their secondary structure includes four short double-helical elements and three loops (D, anti-codon, and T loops). Further hydrogen bonds mediate the characteristic L-shaped molecular structure. tRNAs have two regions of fundamental functional importance: the anti-codon, which is responsible for specific mRNA codon recognition, and the 3' end, to which the tRNAs corresponding amino acid is attached (by aminoacyl-tRNA synthetases). tRNAs cope with the degeneracy of the genetic code in two manners: having more than one tRNA (with a specific anti-codon) for a particular amino acid; and 'wobble' base-pairing, i.e. permitting non-standard base-pairing at the 3rd anti-codon position.
Source: Rfam by way of RNAcentral
CUCUGGGUGGUGUAAAUGAUUAAUAUGCUUGGCUGCUAACCAAAAGACUGGUGGUUCAAGCCCAUCCAGAGG